GAUGAAGAACGCAGCUAAACGCGAAAGGUAAUGCGAAUUGCAGAAUCAGUGAGUCAUCGAAUCUUUGAACGCACAUUGCGCCUCUAGGUAUUCCUGGAGGCACGCCUGUUCGAGCGCCAUUACACACUCCAAGCUCUGCUUGAUGUUGGACGACCCGAGAGAUCGGACGUCUGGAACGUGUGGGCGUCGGGCGUCGGACCACGAGCGUAGCAAGACCAUCAAACAGUCAAGUCGUUCUGUGGAGCCGGCGGUCGACCGCCUCUUUUUACAACUUUAACCACAAGUUUGGCCUCGGAUCAGGCGGGGAUACCCGCUGAACUUAAGCAUAUCAAUAAGCGGAGGA
This 343-nucleotide unclassified non-coding RNA is filed under the name soil metagenome. RNAcentral describes it as "partial contains 5.8S ribosomal RNA, internal transcribed spacer 2, and large subunit ribosomal RNA". The stretch from base 1 to 119 matches the Rfam family "5.8S ribosomal RNA", at positions 35 to 154 of the family's 154-position model. The record is from RNAcentral.